This 235-nucleotide long non-coding RNA is filed under the name Ricinus communis (castor bean). RNAcentral's name for it is "long non-coding RNA (RCOM_LNC000515)". Lineage: Eukaryota; Viridiplantae; Streptophyta; Magnoliopsida; Malpighiales; Euphorbiaceae. The record is from RNAcentral.
GAGUUCAUAAAUCAUAACAGUAGCUGUUUCCCUUUUGAUUGGGCGCCGCUAGCGCUGUCUUUUACUCGGCUACAUUUGGAUUCCCCUUAUAUUAAUUAGUCCUUCCCUUUAUAUGUGUCGACUUAAAAGAUAUCGCUUUUGCAUGUGACUUGCCCACGACCACCCAUUACUCUCCUUUAUUAUUAAGAACCUUCUUCUCCUCCUCCUUAUUUUGCCCUCAGUUGCCGCCUCCUAC